Molecule: long non-coding RNA, 1155 nt
Organism: Portunus trituberculatus (swimming crab)
Lineage: Eukaryota; Metazoa; Arthropoda; Malacostraca; Decapoda; Portunidae
Exons: 5
Source: RefSeq, a predicted model, not a curated record
CAGUACUCCGUCACAUCUGGCAUUGUGAUAAGCAUUCGCCCGCGUACCAUUUACUGUAAAGGUGCUAGAUACUCUUGGCGAUCCGAGUUGUGGAAAAUCAGGAGGUGGAACGAACCACUGUUCUACCGGAAAAUGAGCUUGCUGAAUAUAACAAUCAAUUGCUGUUCCUCAAACUUCCACCCCCUAAGCUCUGAUGAACACCAGUUACUACUAAGCCAACAAAUCCCCUCAAAGAUGGCGGGAAACAAGCUGCCACUGUUACUGUACAUCCCGAGGGAGGCAGACAAGAAUGACUUCUGUCUCCAGGCCUAGCGUCACUCAGGUUGGCUGAGCGAGAUGGAAUGGCUGAAGGGAGCGUGUGUAGCACGAUCCCCACCUCCACUCCACCUGAGUCCGCCCCCACAUUCACCUCCACCGUCUUCUGUUUACGUCAUCCACACGAACCUCAGCUCAGUUUCCACUCUAAAUAAUCAAGUGGGAUGCAGGAGAAUAAAACAAUGUACAGCUACUGAACUUUGUCAAGUCUACCUUCCUACGACCAAUGAAACUCGAGUAUGUUAAAUUGUACCGUUUGUUCCCUUCCUCUCAAAUUUUACUUUUCUUUCCAGUCAGUGUGAAGGAGGAAACAAAACAAUGUACAGCUACCGAGGCUUGUACAGUCCACCUUGCUACGAUCAAUGAGACUCGAAUGUGGAAACUUGUACGAUACUUUAACAUGUAAACUAAACUUGAAGCGUACGUUCUCCUCUAUCUGGCCUUCCCUUCUUCCUCCCUUCCUGUGCGAAACGAAAAUAAAAGUGCGCGUUGGUACCAAAAUUUGCACAGGCAGUAUCUGCAAGGACUACUGAGGUGGAGUGCGAGGACCUGUAGCUAGUAUUCAUUCUCUUUUUUCUGUCUUUCUUACUGCCCUGAAGUGUGAAUCAUGAAAAUAGGACAACUGUGGUGUUAAAGAUUCUUACAAAGACAUCCUUUCAGUGGCCAAUGAUUUAAACGUGUAAACUUGUAGCUAUUGUUCUCUCCCUCACUCCCUCUUCCUGCCCUCCUUUGUGAAACAUAAGAAAAAAUCAAUGGGUUGAAACCGAAGGUUGUACUGCCAGGGAGUCAGCCUUUCCUACGUGCGACAAACAAAAGCCUAUUAACCAAUAGCUAUCGUUC